Molecule: ribosomal RNA, 445 nt
Filed under: uncultured bacterium
Lineage: Bacteria
Description: SSU rRNA
Rfam family: Bacterial small subunit ribosomal RNA
Source: RNAcentral
AGAACGAACGCUGGCGGCAUGCCUAACACAUGCAAGUCGAACGAGACCUUCGGGUCUAGUGGCGCACGGGUGCGUAACGCGUGGGAAUCUGCCCAAAGGUUCGGAAUAACUCAGGGAAACUUGAGCUAAUACCGGAUGAUGUCGCAAGACCAAAGAUUUAUCGCCUUUGGAUGAGCCCGCGUAGGAUUAGCUUGUUGGUGAGGUAAAGGCUCACCAAGGCUACGAUCCUUAGCUGGUCUGAGAGGAUGAUCAGCCACACUGGGACUGAGACACGGCCCAGACUCCUACGGGAGGCAGCAGUGGGGAAUAUUGGACAAUGGGCGAAAGCCUGAUCCAGCAAUGCCGCGUGAGUGAUGAAGGCCCUAGGGUUGUAAAGCUCUUUUACCCGGGAAGAUAAUGACUGUACCGGGAGAAUAAGCCCUGCUAACUCCGCGCCAGCAGCCGC